AAAGCCGGAUUAAUACCGCAUACGCUCUGUGGAGGAAAGCGGGGGAUCUUCGGACCUCGCGCUCAAGGGGCGGCCGAUGGCAGAUUAUCUAGUUGGUGGGGUAAAGGCCUACCAAGGCGACGAUCUGUAGCUGGUCUGAGAGGACGACCAGCCACACUGGGACUGAGACACGGCCCAUACUCCUACGGGAGGCAGCAGUGGGGAAUUUUGGACAAUGGGGGCAACCCUGAUCCAGCAAUGCCGCGUGUGUGAAGAAGGCCUUCGGGUUGUAAAGCACUUUUGUCCGGAAAGAAAACCUCUGGGUUAAUACCCUGGGGGGAUGACGGUACCGGAAGAAUAAGCACCGGCUAACUACGUGCCAGCAGCCGCGGUAAUACGUAGGGUGCGAGCGUUAAUCGGAAUUACUGGGCGUAAAGCGUGCGCAGGCGGUUCGCU
RNAcentral lists this ribosomal RNA (435 nucleotides) under Burkholderia sp. Ms322PL. RNAcentral describes it as "bacterial SSU rRNA". It matches the Rfam family "Bacterial small subunit ribosomal RNA", at positions 154 to 584 of the family's 1533-position model. The record is from RNAcentral. Lineage: Bacteria; Pseudomonadati; Pseudomonadota; Betaproteobacteria; Burkholderiales; Burkholderiaceae.